RNAcentral lists this long non-coding RNA (222 nucleotides) under Erythranthe guttata (spotted monkey flower). RNAcentral describes it as "long non-coding RNA (EGUT_LNC000136)". Lineage: Eukaryota; Viridiplantae; Streptophyta; Magnoliopsida; Lamiales; Phrymaceae. The record is from RNAcentral.
CUGUAACAUAAUUAGUGAUCAAAUAUGGCUAAAACAGCAAGAAAAAUAGAAUAAAAAUAUGGUUCGAACAUAAAUAACAACUAUUGUACGAUAAUUUGGUCUUACAAAAAUGCACAAAUAUUAAUUGCACAGAGUUGUUGCUAAAUCUGCACAACAACCCCCACUAAAUGACGAUUAUUUGGAUUAUUUGAACAAAAAUAAAUGAAAAAUAAAAUAAAAUGU